RNAcentral lists this ribosomal RNA (403 nucleotides) under Escherichia coli. Its description in RNAcentral is "partial 23S ribosomal RNA". It matches the Rfam family "Bacterial large subunit ribosomal RNA", at positions 2399 to 2801 of the family's 2925-position model. The record is from RNAcentral. Lineage: Bacteria; Pseudomonadati; Pseudomonadota; Gammaproteobacteria; Enterobacterales; Enterobacteriaceae.
GCGAAAGCAGGUCAUAGUGAUCCGGUGGUUCUGAAUGGAAGGGCCAUCGCUCAACGGAUAAAAGGUACUCCGGGGAUAACAGGCUGAUACCGCCCAAGAGUUCAUAUCGACGGCGGUGUUUGGCACCUCGAUGUCGGCUCAUCACAUCCUGGGGCUGAAGUAGGUCCCAAGGGUAUGGCUGUUCGCCAUUUAAAGUGGUACGCGAGCUGGGUUUAGAACGUCGUGAGACAGUUCGGUCCCUAUCUGCCGUGGGCGCUGGAGAACUGAGGGGGGCUGCUCCUAGUACGAGAGGACCGGAGUGGACGCAUCACUGGUGUUCGGGUUGUCAUGCCAAUGGCACUGCCCGGUAGCUAAAUGCGGAAGAGAUAAGUGCUGAAAGCAUCUAAGCACGAAACUUGCCCCG